This 394-nucleotide unclassified non-coding RNA is filed under the name uncultured fungus. RNAcentral's name for it is "partial contains 5.8S ribosomal RNA, internal transcribed spacer 2, and large subunit ribosomal RNA". The record is from RNAcentral. Lineage: Eukaryota; Fungi.
AACGCAUAUUGCGCUCGAGACUUCGGUCGAGAGCAUGCCUGUCUCAGCGUCGGCUCACCCCUCGCCCACCCUCCUCCCUUCUUCCUCCAAGGAAAAAGGGCGGAGGUGCCUGGACGGACGUGGCCGUCUCGAUUUCUUUCAAUAGAACAUCGGGUCGGCUGAAGUGCAGGGCCCGCGGCGCGACCCGGACAAGAGGGCGCCAGCAUGGUAGGUGGCUUUCAAUGCCGCAUGCCGCUGUCGCCUGCCCUUGGCCCGACCAGUGUCGCAUCCAAUCGUCCGCUCGGCCACCAAGCAGGAAACUGUGUCGGUCGCCCGUCGGUUGUAAAAUAAUCGGCGGCGCCGGCACACUCAAACCUUCGACCUGAGAUCAGACAAGACUACCCGCUGAACUUAA